CCUACGGGUGGCUGCAGUGGGGAAUAUUGGGCAAUGGGCGCAAGCCUGACCCAGCAACGCCGCGUGAAGGAAGAAGGCUUUCGGGUUGUAAACUUCUUUUAAGAGGGAAGAGCAGAAGACGGUACCUCUUGAAUAAGCCACGGCUAACUACGUGCCAGCAGCCGCGGUAAUACGUAGGUGGCAAGCGUUGUCCGGAUUUAUUGGGUUUAAAGGGUGCGCAGGCGGAGGCACAAGUCAGCGGUAAAAUCGCGGGGCUCAACCCCGCUCCGCCGUUGAAACUGUGUCCCUUGAGUGCGCGAAGGGUAGGCGGAAUGCGUGGUGUAGCGGUGAAAUGCAUAGAUAUCACGCAGAACUCCGAUCGCGAAGGCAGCCUACCGGCGCGCAACUGACGCUCAUGCACGAAAGCGUGGGUAUCGAACAGGAUUGGAUACCCGAGUAGUC
This 441-nucleotide ribosomal RNA is filed under the name uncultured bacterium. Its description in RNAcentral is "partial 16S ribosomal RNA". It matches the Rfam family "Bacterial small subunit ribosomal RNA", at positions 338 to 795 of the family's 1533-position model. The record is from RNAcentral.